RNAcentral lists this ribosomal RNA (253 nucleotides) under uncultured bacterium. RNAcentral's name for it is "partial 16S ribosomal RNA". It matches the Rfam family "Bacterial small subunit ribosomal RNA", at positions 524 to 776 of the family's 1533-position model. The record is from RNAcentral.
UACGUAGGGGGCUAGCGUUGUCCGGAUUUAUUGGGCGUAAAGAGCGUGUAGGCGGCCAGGUAGGUCUGCUGUGAAAACUCGAGGCUCAACCUCGAGACGUCGGCGGAAACCAUCUGGCUAGAGUCCGGAAGAGGAGAGUGGAAUUCCUGGUGUAGCGGUGAAAUGCGCAGAUAUCGGGAAGAACACCCGUGGCUAAGGCGGCUCUCUAGUACGGUACUGACGCUGAGACGCGAAAGCGUGGGGAGCGAACCGG